CACUGCCGAGAAAAGCCUCUAGAUAGAAAAUAGGUGCCCGUACCGCAAACCGACACAGGUAGUCAAGAUGAGAAUUCUAAGGUGAGCGAGCGAACUCUCGUUAAGGAACUCGGCAAAAUGACCCCGUAACUUCGGGAGAAGGGGUGCUCUUUAGGGUUAACGCCCAGAAGAGCCGCAGUGAAUAGGCCCAAGCGACUGUUUAUCAAAAACACAGGUCUCUGCUAAACCGUAAGGUGAUGUAUAGGGGCUGACGCCUGCCCGGUGCUGGAAGGUUAAGAGGAGUGGUUAGCUUCUGCGAAGCUACGAAUCGAAGCCCCAGUAAACGGCGGCCGUAACUAUAACGGUCCUAAGGUAGCGAAAUUCCUUGUCGGGUAAGUUCCGACCCGCACGAAAGGCGUAACGAUUUGGGCACUGUCUCAACGAGAGACUCGGUGAAAUCAUAGUACCUGUGAAGAUGCAGGUUACCCGCGACAGGACGGAAAGACCCCGUGGAGCUUUACUGUAGCCUGAUAUUGAAAUUCGGCACAGCUUGUACAGGAUAGGUAGGAGCCUUUGAAACGUGAGCGCUAGCUUACGUGGAGGCGCUGGUGGGAUACUACCCUAGCUGUGUUGGCUUUCUAACCCGCACCACUUAUCGUGGUGGGAGACAGUGUCAGGCGGGCAGUUUGACUGGGGCGGUCGCCUCCUAAAAGGUAACGGAGGCGCUCAAAGGUUCCCUCAGAAUGGUUGGAAAUCAUUCAUAGAGUGUAAAGGCAUAAGGGAGCUUGACUGCGAGACCUACAAGUCGAGCAGGGUCGAAAGACGGACUUAGUGAUCCGGUGGUUCCGCAUGGAAGGGCCAUCGCUCAACGGAUAAAAGCUACCCCGGGGAUAACAGGCUUAUCUCCCCCAAGAGUUCACAUCGACGGGGAGGUUUGGCACCUCGAUGUCGGCUCAUCGCAUCCUGGGGCUGUAGUCGGUCCCAAGGGUUGGGCUGUUCGCCCAUUAAAGCGGUACGCGAGCUGGGUUCAGAACGUCGUGAGACAGUUCGGUCCCUAUCCGUCGUGGGCGUAGGAAAUUUGAGAGGAGCUGUCCUUAGUACGAGAGGACCGGGAUGGACAUACCUCUGGUGUACCAGUUGUCGUGCCAACGGCAUAGCUGGGUAGCUAUGUGUGGACGGGAUAAGUGCUGAAAGCAUCUAAGCAUGAAGCCCCCCUCAAGAUGAGAUUUCCCAACUUCGGUUAUAAGAUCCCUCAAAGAUGAUGAGGUUAAUAGGUUCGAGGU
This 1262-nucleotide ribosomal RNA is filed under the name Staphylococcus aureus. RNAcentral describes it as "partial 23S ribosomal RNA". It matches the Rfam family "Bacterial large subunit ribosomal RNA", at positions 1603 to 2868 of the family's 2925-position model. Lineage: Bacteria; Bacillati; Bacillota; Bacilli; Caryophanales; Staphylococcaceae. The record is from RNAcentral.